This is a long non-coding RNA of Gallus gallus (chicken), 2825 nucleotides long. RefSeq lists it as uncharacterized. The transcript has 3 exons. Lineage: Eukaryota; Metazoa; Chordata; Aves; Galliformes; Phasianidae. The record is from RefSeq and is a predicted model, not a curated record.
AGUUCUUCAAAUUGCAAAGUUGCUGUAAGAUUGAUUUGCCAGAAAUGUGUGGAUGAAGAAGUGCUGUAAUCUCACUGCAUUUUGACAAAACAGAAGUCCUCUCCUUUUAUUUUUUUGAAAUCCUUACUGCCUCUCCCUUUCCUCUCUAUGGCAGGAUACGCAAUUUCAUCCUAGGAGUAAACAGUCAAGCUUGUACCAGAAGCUGAUGGAGGACACAGAAGUUGGCUUUCAAAUGACAAGGCUUUUCAGAUUCAUGCAUCCCCUGAGCUUCCUUGAAUCUGCUGAGACCACAGAGAAGUGCAUUUUAAUUCAGUGAAUUCAACGAUGUCCUCACUGUGUCAUGAAGACACAAUCCUGAUGUGAGUCAGCACUCAGGACACAGCAGAACAUCCUUAACAGGUACCUUCAAACUAAAGAGACAGAAGAGAUAUCUGAAACAGUCCAAAAGUGUUGUCUGUUCAUCUGACUCAAACCAGGAUCCAGGCUGUGCAAUCCCAACUUCACCAUCCAUGGAGGUGAAGGAAUCAAAACAAGAGCUGAAUCCUCAUGUGAAAAUAUUGCAGUUCACUCGCUUUACUUCAGAGACAGUUUUCUUGGUAUAUUUUUCCAGCAGGUAAGGCUGCCACACCUACAGGCCAUAAUCCUCCUUGUCUGAAGCCAAAUAACACAAGGAAUCAAAAUGCCUUCGUGAGCUUUGAAAUGAAACAGUAAGAAGCCUAGAGAAGAUAAUUCCAUUACAAUUUUAUAGCUGGGCUCAUCCAGUAUAGUCAAUGAAGGAGAUAGACAGUAAUCACAACUGAAAUUGCUUUUGAAAAGAUUGGUUUAUUUUUGCUUAGUUUCAGAUCCAGGCAAAAGAAUCACUCAAAAAAUCAGAAUUCUGCUGUAUUUCUUACCUUUUUUUUUUUUUUUUUCCCUUUUCUUUUCUUUUUUUUUCUCCCUAAAAAUUGCUUCACACAUACUGUUACAUUGUCUUACAGUUCUCAUCUGGCUGUUUCUUGGCGCCCUUGAGAGCACUAGCUAAAUGGCUGAUCUCCAGGAAGGUAAGAGCCUUGUUUAUUUUUGCUUUACCUUCCCUCCCUCCUGAGAACCGCUAUGACCACAGACAGGAGCAGGGAAGCUGGGUAUCGGAAACACAUGCUUUGCACUGGUGAGAUUGAAGAAGAGCUGUGUUUGCUCUGUGGCACUGCACGCAGCCAGACUCUGUGCAAGGGCUGCAGAUCUAAGGCAAGAGACAAGAGGAUACUAUCUCCUCCUAAGGCUGGUCUGUCAACCCUAGCAGAUGAAUAAAGAUCUGUGUCACAGAAAUAUUUCAUGGCUUCUUUGUUUGUUCUGGGUGUUCAGGUGAUCAGUGCUGUCAUUGUUUGACUAUUAAUGUUAUAUCUGAACUAGGAGAAGUUAUUGAACAGUCCCAAGAGAAGUUAACAGCAACUGAAAGGUCUCCUUCAGAGAAUUUACUAAAGCAACACAACAGAAGUUGAAUAAUGCCUCCCUCGGAUUGUCUCUAGCUGGCUUCAAGUGGCUGGCCACAUUCACUUAACACUAACCAAUGAGGAAUUAAUCUCAUCAGUUUUAUCUCUGCAGACACCUCCUUGUAGAGCUAUUUGUACUCAUCAGAGCAAACUCUUAAGAAAAGUAAGGCUAACAACCGAGUGUAUCAGAGGAGCUGUCUGAAGCACAUGCUACCCAGAUCGCUGGAACUGACUUUUCAGAUAUGCUCAUUACACCGAGCACAAACCCCAGGACGCUGACAUGGUGUGAGGAAGGUCCACCCAGCUUGUGGCAGAGAGCAUUUAGGUCUCUUGUGACUCAGAGAUGGUGGAAACACAGAUCUUGUCCCUGAUUCUCUUCACUCCCCUUACCUACAGCUUCCCCCCAUUCCCAAGCCAUGAAGAUUUCAAAUGCUGGAAGUAUCCUGGUUCUGAAGCCUGUGCCCCGAAGGCAGCAAAGAAAGACAGUCUACCUUCUGCAGGACUCAAUCUCAUAGACAUGGUCUCAAACAGUGCGAAAAACAGAUGGCUCUUGCUUCUGUUGGGGUAAAAAUGCCAGUGCUGUUUAUAAUAAUGGCUUUAUUUUUCUCCAUUGGAGAGGUUUGAAAUGCAGAAUAGUCAGCAUUCCACAAUUUCUGCCCACAAGCAAGUGUGAGAUGGCUCCAAGAUACCUCGCUUCCUUGUGCUGCAGAAGUUUUCUAAUGAGAAGCCAAACUUCUGAAAACUGGAGAUGCUGCAGCACACACAGCCCUUGGAGAGGAACCCUGUAAAGCCAAGUGGAAGUGGAAUUAAAUCAGGCUGCGCCAGAAACUGACAGAAACCUAUAGCAAUGAACAGAGUGCCUGUUUCAAAUAAAUAGUUAAAACUUACAAAUACUAAGCUUUUCCAGGAGUUCGUCCCACAGCCAAUACUAGUAAGUGUUUUUCAGCCUCUGAUUAAGCUAUGUGUCUUAACAGGCAUUUGGACACACUACAAUCAUUUUAAAAAUUCUUCCCAUAAUAAAGCAUAUAGUGCAUAAUAAAGUGCAGAAAUAUUUGCUGAGGCAUGUUUCUGCUGCUUCUUUGAUGCAUCAGUUUUCUACUGUAAGUAGAAAUGUAGCCUGCAUCCAGCGAUUAGCUGUCAGGGAGGAAAGGGAAGGGAAGGAGCUGUACAAGUGCAUUUCAGCCGACUUCUACCACUAGGGGCUAAGCACAGUAAUCCAAACCAGAUGUAGGGGAAAAAAAGAGAGACGCACAAAUACGAUCAUUCUAAUGCCUGUUUGAUUUCCCACAUUUGUAAGUGCUUUACUGAUGAAAAUUCAAGCGUGUUCAUGAGGCAAAUGUUCACAUCCAUUUCUGC